Molecule: ribosomal RNA, 432 nt
Filed under: uncultured bacterium
Lineage: Bacteria
Description: partial 16S ribosomal RNA
Rfam family: Bacterial small subunit ribosomal RNA
Source: RNAcentral
AACGAACGCUGGCGGCAUGCCUAACACAUGAAGUCGCACGCGACCUUCGGGUCUAGUGGCGCACGGGUGCGUCACGCGUGGGAACCUGCCCUUAGGUUCGGAAUAACUCCCCGAAAGGGGUGCUAAUACCGGAUAAUGUCUUCGGACCAAAGAUUUAUCGCCUUUGGAUGGGCCCGCGUUGGAUUAGCUAGUUGGUAGGGUAAAAGCCUACCAAGGCGACGAUCCAUAGCUGGUCUGAGAGGAUGAUCAGCCACACUGGGACUGAGACACGGCCCAGACUCCUACGGGAGGCAGCAGUGGGGAAUAUUGGACAAUGGGCGAAAGCCUGAUCCAGCAAUGCCGCGUGAGUGAUGAAGGCCUUAGGGUUGUAAAGCUCUUUUACCCGGGAUGAUAAUGACAGUACCGGGAGAAUAAGCUCCGGCUAACUCCGUG